CCUACGGGUGGCAGCAGUGGGGAAUAUUGCACAAUGGGGGAAACCCUGAUGCAGCGAAGCCGCGUGAGCGAUGCAGUCUUUCGGUAUGUAAAACUCUAUCAGCCAGGGAGAAAAUGACGGUACCUGACUAAUAAGCCCCGGCUAACUACGUGCCAGCAGACCCGGUAAUACGUAGGGUGCAAGCGUUAUCCAGAUUUACUGGGUGUAAAGGGCGCGUAGACGGCGAUGCAAGCCAGAGGUGAACACCCGGGGCUCAACCCCCGGACUGCAUUUGGAACUGUAUAGCUGGAGUGUAGGAGAGGCAGGCGGAAUUCCUAGUGUAGCGGUGAAAUGCGUAGAUAUUAGGAGGAACAACAGUGGCGAAGGCGGCCUGAUGGACGAUCACUGACGUGGAGGCGCGAAAGCGUGGGGAGCAAACAGGAUUAGAUACCCUAGUAGUC
RNAcentral lists this ribosomal RNA (440 nucleotides) under uncultured bacterium. RNAcentral describes it as "partial 16S ribosomal RNA". It matches the Rfam family "Bacterial small subunit ribosomal RNA", at positions 338 to 795 of the family's 1533-position model. The record is from RNAcentral.